RNAcentral lists this ribosomal RNA (227 nucleotides) under uncultured soil bacterium. Its description in RNAcentral is "partial 16S ribosomal RNA". It matches the Rfam family "Bacterial small subunit ribosomal RNA", at positions 26 to 282 of the family's 1533-position model. The record is from RNAcentral.
AGAACGAACGCUGGCGGCAUGCCUAAUACAUGCAAGUCGAACGAACUCUUCGGAGUUAGUGGCGCACGGGUGCGUAACGCGUGGGAAUCUGCCCCUUGGUUCGGAAUAACAGUUGGAAACGACUGCUAAUACCGGAUGAUGACGAAAGUCCAAAGAUUUAUCGCCAAGGGAUGAGCCCGCGUAGGAUUAGCUAGUUGGUGAGGUAAGGCUCACCAAGGCAACGAUCC